AGCUGUAAACCUUGGAGCAGCCAUUUAUUGCCACACACUGAACUAACCAAACCAGCCAAAACUGGCUGGGCUAUCCCCUAAUAGUCUAACUCAGUUGCCAGAGCAACAACAAGAUUCUGUUACCACGACAACCAAAUACACAACACCCCACUAUCCCAGUAUUUGUCUGUAACCAGCCCUGGGUGCUGGGACAAGGGAGAGGAAGAUAACCUGCACCUGCAAUCUUACCCUGUCUGUGUGCUCCUGUCUCUGGUUCAGAUAGCAGAGUGUCUGGAGAUGGAAAGGAUAAAAGAGAGGUGUGAAACAGGGAAGUUCCAGCAGCUGGAGGACACGUCUCCUGAUCUGGAAAUCAGUCUUGGUUAUUGGUGCCAAGAAAACCGGUGCUCUGAAGGAGACUGAGGAAAAUCAAAGAAGAGGUGAAGUCAGACCCGUCAACUGCAGAUGUGUCCUGAGGACU
Molecule: long non-coding RNA, 457 nt
Organism: Mauremys mutica (yellowpond turtle)
Lineage: Eukaryota; Metazoa; Chordata; Testudines; Geoemydidae
Exons: 4
Source: RefSeq, a predicted model, not a curated record